GACGAACGCUGGCGGCGUGCUUAACACAUGCAAGUCGAACGGAAAGGCCCUGCCUUUGUGGGGUGCUCGAGUGGCGAACGGGUGAGUAACACGUGAGUAACCUACCCUUGACUUUGGGAUAACUUAAGGAAACUAGGGCUAAUACAGGAUAGGAGCUUCUGCUGCAUUGUGGUGGUUGGUAAGUUUCGGCGGUUGGGGAUGGAUUCGCGGCUGAUCAGCUCGUUGGGGGGGUAGUGGCUUACCCAGGCUUCGACGGGUAGCCGGCCUGAGAGGGUGACCGGCCCCAUUGGGACUGCGAUACGGCCCAGCCUCCUACGGGAGUCAACAGUGGGGAAUAUUGCACAGUGGGCGGGAGCCUGGUGCGGCAACGCCGCGUGCGGGGUGACGGCCUUCGGGUUGUAAACCGCUUUCGCCUGUGACGUAGCGUGGGUGACGGUAGUUGGUUAAGAAGCACCGGCUAACUACGUG
Molecule: ribosomal RNA, 468 nt
Filed under: uncultured bacterium
Lineage: Bacteria
Description: partial 16S ribosomal RNA
Rfam family: Bacterial small subunit ribosomal RNA
Source: RNAcentral